This is a long non-coding RNA of Dreissena polymorpha, 230 nucleotides long. RefSeq lists it as uncharacterized. The transcript is spliced from 3 exons. Lineage: Eukaryota; Metazoa; Mollusca; Bivalvia; Myida; Dreissenidae. The record is from RefSeq and is a predicted model, not a curated record.
CAAGUGUCAACACCGACCGCUACUCGCACUUUUUAUUAAAAUGAUGACAAAACAAGUAAGUGCUAUUAUUUAUUGGACGAUUGCCAUUGAGGAACAAACACGCGAUUGGUUCGGCAUGUACUCAGAUAUCCAAGGUGCCUGAACCACGUGACUUUUUCGGCUAUGUGUGGGACAAUCGGAUGUAAACAAAACGUCGCUUCAGAAUGCCUUUGUUUGCGAACAGUGUGGCA